RNAcentral lists this ribosomal RNA (249 nucleotides) under uncultured Glomus. RNAcentral's name for it is "partial 18S ribosomal RNA". It matches the Rfam family "Eukaryotic small subunit ribosomal RNA", at positions 569 to 820 of the family's 1831-position model. The record is from RNAcentral. Lineage: Eukaryota; Fungi; Glomeromycota; Glomeromycetes; Glomerales; Glomeraceae.
AGCAGCCGCGGUAAUUCCAGCUCCAAUAGCGUAUAUUAAAGUUGUUGCAGUUAAAAAAGCUCGUAGUUGAAUUUCGGGGUUAGUAGGUUGGUUAUGCCUCUGGUAUGUACUGGUCUCACCGAUUCCUCCUUCCUGAUGAUCCGUAAUGCCAUUUAUUUGGUGUUGCGGGGAAUUUGGACUGUUACUUUAGAAAAAAUUAGAGUUGUUUAAAGCAAGCUAACGCUUGAAUACAUUAGCAUGGAAUAAUAG